GUGCAAUCAUGCUGCCUAAAGCCA
Molecule: non-coding RNA, 24 nt
Filed under: Arabidopsis thaliana (thale cress)
Lineage: Eukaryota; Viridiplantae; Streptophyta; Magnoliopsida; Brassicales; Brassicaceae
Source: RNAcentral